GGCCGGUUAGCUCAGCUGGUUAGAAUGUGGUGCUAAUAACGCCAAGGACGCGGGUUCGAUCCCUGUACUGGCCA
This 74-nucleotide transfer RNA is filed under the name Danio rerio (zebrafish). It matches the Rfam family "tRNA". Rfam says of the family: Transfer RNA (tRNA) molecules are approximately 80 nucleotides in length. Their secondary structure includes four short double-helical elements and three loops (D, anti-codon, and T loops). The record is from Rfam by way of RNAcentral. Lineage: Eukaryota; Metazoa; Chordata; Actinopteri; Cypriniformes; Danionidae.